This 450-nucleotide ribosomal RNA is filed under the name uncultured bacterium. RNAcentral's name for it is "bacterial SSU rRNA". It matches the Rfam family "Bacterial small subunit ribosomal RNA", at positions 354 to 796 of the family's 1533-position model. The record is from RNAcentral.
GUGGGGAAUAUUGGACAAUGGGCGAAAGCCUGAUCCAGCCAUGCCGCGUGUGUGAAGAAGGUCUUCGGAUUGUAAAGCACUUUAAGUUGGGAGGAAGGGCAGUAAGUUAAUACCUUGCUGUUUUGACGUUACCGACAGAAUAAGCACCGGCUAACUUCGUGCCAGCAGCCGCGGUAAUACGAAGGGUGCAAGCGUUAAUCGGAAUUACUGGGUGUAAAGCGCGCGUAGGUGGUUUUGUAAGUUGGAGGUGAAAUCCCCGGGCUCAACCUGGGAACUGCCUCCAAAACUGCAUGACUAGAGUACGGUAGAGGGUAGUGGAAUUUCCUGUGUAGCGGUGAAAUGCGUAGAUAUAGGAAGGAACACCAGUGGCGAAGGCGACUACCUGGACUGAUACUGACACUGAGGUGCGAAAGCGUGGGGAGCAAACAGGAUUAGAAACCCGAGUAGUCC